This 424-nucleotide ribosomal RNA is filed under the name uncultured rumen bacterium. RNAcentral's name for it is "bacterial SSU rRNA". It matches the Rfam family "Bacterial small subunit ribosomal RNA", at positions 354 to 776 of the family's 1533-position model. The record is from RNAcentral.
GUGAGGAAUAUUGGACAAUGGCCGGAAGGCUGAUCCAGCCAUGCCGCGUGAAGGAUAAGGUCCUAUGGAUUGUAAACUUCUUUUGAGUGGGAGCAAUAAGGAUGUCGUGACAUCCGAUGAGAGUACCAUUCGAAUAAGCAUCGGCUAACUCCGUGCCAGCAGCCGCGGUAAUACGGAGGAUGCGAGCGUUAUCCGGAUUUAUUGGGUUUAAAGGGUGCGUAGGCGGUUUGUCAAGUCAGCGGUGAAACGCAAGGGCUUAACCCUUGACCUGCCGUUGAAACUGAUUGACUAGAAUGCGGAUGCUGUGGGAGGAAUGUGUGGUGUAGCGGUGAAAUGCAUAGAUAUCACACAGAACACCGAUUGCGAAGGCAUCUCACAAAUCCGUGAUUGACGCUGAGGCACGAAAGUGUGGGGAUCAAACAGG